Manis pentadactyla (Chinese pangolin) is the source of this 821-nucleotide long non-coding RNA. RefSeq lists it as uncharacterized. NCBI's taxonomy places the organism in Eukaryota, Metazoa, Chordata, Mammalia, Pholidota, Manidae. The record is from RefSeq and is a predicted model, not a curated record. The transcript has 4 exons.
GUGUGUCUCUGAAAUGGACACCAGGCAGCCGGCCCUGCAGUGUGGGAAGAUGCUAACUGGCCUCAGCUGCUACCGGGAAGCGGGCACUGCGACCAGGGUGAGGAAGCACGGCUGGGUGACCCUCUGAGCAACAGGUACAAAAAUGAGAGCAAGAAAAGGAAAGUGAAAAAACAUGUUCCUGUCAUCUCCACUCUGUCGCGGGACGUCUCCCCGCCCCGCCGGGCUCCCGCCCACUGAGCCUGGGUCUCUGACCCUCCCGUCCUGGUCUCCCCGAGCCUCAGCCCCGAGGAGUCACGAAUCGGGCAGUGUGGCUUCUCCGUUUUCUGCCAUAGAAAGGGUCGCCCCGUGGCUGGUCUGCGCAUCUCACCCCCGCCUUCCACUGCGUGCCCUUGACUGAAGACGGGUGGUUUGUUGUAAAGAUCAAGCAACGCCAUGUACGUGAAAGCACCUGAAAACUAUCAAGUGGCCUUCAGAUGUGAAGUAUUAGACUCUCUGCCCUCUUCCUUGUUUCUCUGAAGUCAUUUUCAGUGUUUGGCUUGUGCCUGAUGGCAGAAGGCACUUACAAUGGAGCCCCGGGUGACGAAGAAGCGGGCCGAGGGGCUCAGAGCGGCGAGGGCCGCGACAGCAAACAGGCAAAGGGCUUCUCGGCGCUUCCGACGGCCCCGGGUAGAGACGGCGGGGCUUUCACCACUGGCGGCGGCGGGAGAGCGGCCAGGGUCCUGCGCGCUCGUGGCGCGCCGGUCCGGGCGAAGGCCUCGCGGGGCGCGGGCGGCCGCCCCACGGCCCGCGCACCCUGCGGCAGCAUUACCGGAGGAGGGAGG